This 22-nucleotide non-coding RNA is filed under the name Rattus norvegicus (Norway rat). The record is from RNAcentral. Lineage: Eukaryota; Metazoa; Chordata; Mammalia; Rodentia; Muridae.
UAGUGGCCACACAGUAAUCGUA